This 85-nucleotide non-coding RNA is filed under the name Pseudomonas asplenii. Lineage: Bacteria; Pseudomonadati; Pseudomonadota; Gammaproteobacteria; Pseudomonadales; Pseudomonadaceae. The record is from RNAcentral.
UGUCAUGGCGAGCUGUGCGCAGGAGGCUUCGGCCUGCCGGUUCCUCUGUGCCGGUCUGCAAACCUGUGUACGGCUUGCCACCCUU